This 74-nucleotide transfer RNA is filed under the name Candidatus Woesebacteria bacterium. Its description in RNAcentral is "tRNA-Glu". It matches the Rfam family "tRNA". From Rfam's summary of the family: Transfer RNA (tRNA) molecules are approximately 80 nucleotides in length. Their secondary structure includes four short double-helical elements and three loops (D, anti-codon, and T loops). Further hydrogen bonds mediate the characteristic L-shaped molecular structure. tRNAs have two regions of fundamental functional importance: the anti-codon, which is responsible for specific mRNA codon recognition, and the 3' end, to which the tRNAs corresponding amino acid is attached (by aminoacyl-tRNA synthetases). tRNAs cope with the degeneracy of the genetic code in two manners: having more than one tRNA (with a specific anti-codon) for a particular amino acid; and 'wobble' base-pairing, i.e. permitting non-standard base-pairing at the 3rd anti-codon position. Lineage: Bacteria; Candidatus Woeseibacteriota. The record is from RNAcentral.
GCCCCCAUCGUCUAGCGGCCUAGGACGGUUCCUUCUCAAGGAACAAAUCGCGGGUUCGAAUCCCACUGGGGGUA